AGCGAACGCUGGCGGCAGGCUUAACACAUGCAAGUCGAGCGGGCAUAGCAAUAUGUCAGCGGCAGACGGGUGAGUAACGCGUGGGAACGUACCUUUUGGUUCGGAACAACACAGGGAAACUUGUGCUAAUACCGGAUAAGCCCUUACGGGGAAAGAUUUAUCGCCGAAAGAUCGGCCCGCGUCUGAUUAGCUAGUUGGUGAGGUAAUGGCUCACCAAGGCGACGAUCAGUAGCUGGUCUGAGAGGAUGAUCAGCCACAUUAGGACUGAGACACGGCCCAAACUCCUACGGGAGGCAGCAGUGGGGAAUAUUGGACAAUGGGGGAAACCCUGAUCCAGCAAUGCCGCGUGAGUGAUGAAGGCCUUAGGGUUGUAAAGCUCUUUUACCCGGGAUGAUAAUGACAGUACCGGGAGAAUAAGCUCCGGCUAACUCCGUGCCAGCCGCCGCGGUAA
Molecule: ribosomal RNA, 451 nt
Filed under: uncultured bacterium
Lineage: Bacteria
Description: partial 16S ribosomal RNA
Rfam family: Bacterial small subunit ribosomal RNA
Source: RNAcentral